GACGUAGGGCGCGAGCGUUGUCCGGAUUUAUUGGGCGUAAAGAGCUCGUAGGCGGCUUGUUGCGUCUGCUGUGAAAACCCGCGGCUUAACCGUGGGCUUGCAGCCGAUACGGGCAGGCUAGAGUUCGGUAGGGGAGACUGGAAUUCCUGGUGUAGCGGUGAAAUGCGCAGAUAUCAGGAGGAACACCGGUGGCGAAGGCGGGUCUCUGGGCCGAUACUGACGCUGAGGAACGAAAGCGUGGGGAGCGAACAGG
This 253-nucleotide ribosomal RNA is filed under the name uncultured bacterium. Its description in RNAcentral is "partial 16S ribosomal RNA". It matches the Rfam family "Bacterial small subunit ribosomal RNA", at positions 524 to 776 of the family's 1533-position model. The record is from RNAcentral.